Nadsonia fulvescens var. elongata DSM 6958 is the source of this 81-nucleotide transfer RNA. It matches the Rfam family "tRNA". From Rfam's summary of the family: Transfer RNA (tRNA) molecules are approximately 80 nucleotides in length. Their secondary structure includes four short double-helical elements and three loops (D, anti-codon, and T loops). The record is from Rfam. NCBI's taxonomy places the organism in Eukaryota, Fungi, Ascomycota, Dipodascomycetes, Dipodascales.
GGAUCUGUAGUGUAGUGGUUAUCACGCCUCACUCACAUUUGUGUUCUGAGGAGGUCCUGAGUUCGAACCUCAGCCGAUUCA